RNAcentral lists this ribosomal RNA (636 nucleotides) under Streptomyces sp. OSM5. RNAcentral describes it as "bacterial SSU rRNA". It matches the Rfam family "Bacterial small subunit ribosomal RNA", at positions 364 to 1010 of the family's 1533-position model. Lineage: Bacteria; Bacillati; Actinomycetota; Actinomycetes; Kitasatosporales; Streptomycetaceae. The record is from RNAcentral.
AUGCAAGGGCGAAAGCCCUGAUGCAGCGCACGCCGCGUGAGGGAUGACGGCCUUCGGGUUGUAAACCUCUUUCAGCAGGGAAGAAGCGAAAGUGACGGUACCUGCAGAAGAAGCGCCGGCUAACUACGUGCCAGCAGCCGCGGUAAUACGUAGGGCGCAAGCGUUGUCCGGAAUUAUUGGGCGUAAAGAGCUCGUAGGCGGCUUGUCACGUCGGAUGUGAAAGCCCGAGGCUUAACCUCGGGUCUGCAUUCGAUACGGGCUAGCUAGAGUGUGGUAGGGGAGAUCGGAAUUCCUGGUGUAGCGGUGAAAUGCGCAGAUAUCAGGAGGAACACCGGUGGCGAAGGCGGAUCUCUGGGCCAUUACUGACGCUGAGGAGCGAAAGCGUGGGGAGCGAACAGGAUUAGAUACCCUGGUAGUCCACGCCGUAAACGUUGGGAACUAGGUGUUGGCGACAUUCCACGUCGUCGGUGCCGCAGCUAACGCAUUAAGUUCCCCGCCUGGGGAGUACGGCCGCAAGGCUAAAACUCAAAGGAAUUGACGGGGGCCCGCACAAGCAGCGGAGCAUGUGGCUUAAUUCGACGCAACGCGAAGAACCUUACCAAGGCUUGACAUAUACCGGAAAGCAUUAGAGAUAGU